Oryctolagus cuniculus (rabbit) is the source of this 85-nucleotide small nuclear RNA. Its record names the gene U2. It matches the Rfam family "U2 spliceosomal RNA". Rfam says of the family: U2 is a small nuclear RNA (snRNA) component of the spliceosome (involved in pre-mRNA splicing). Complementary binding between U2 snRNA (in an area lying towards the 5' end but 3' to hairpin I) and the branchpoint sequence (BPS) of the intron results the bulging out of an unpaired adenosine, on the BPS, which initiates a nucleophilic attack at the intronic 5' splice site, thus starting the first of two transesterification reactions that mediate splicing. NCBI's taxonomy places the organism in Eukaryota, Metazoa, Chordata, Mammalia, Lagomorpha, Leporidae. The record is from Ensembl.
AUCGCUUCUCGGCCUUUUGGCUAAGAUCAAGUGUAGAAUAAAAAAGUGAGAGAAACCUGAUUUCAAUAUUUAUUUUAUAACUAUA